AAAGUUGAAAAAAUUUGCAAGCAAAGUCAUAGACACAUGAUAAGAUGGUCCUAACUUUCUCAUUUUCAAAGGAAACUCAAAUAACAAUUAUGCAGUAAACUUUCCAAUGUAUGUUGAUGAUGAUAGAAUUAUAUUUUUAUAAUUUCAUCUCUUAUUGGAAGAACUCAUUUUUAGUUCUUAGAAAACUUUAAUUUUCCAUUAGAGAUGAUGAUUGAUAAGAAAUUUUUUCUUCCUCCUCCAAUUUAUUAGCAAUUACAAUAAUUUCCUAAAACAAUCAAUUUUGUAUGAUUCACAAAAUCAGCUCCUUUUUUUUUUUUUUUCAUUUUCGUUUUUUACCUAACACUAAAUUUUCUCAGCAACCAAAUAAACAAGUUGCAACUUUAUUUUUUAUUUUUUUACCUUCAUUCAAUAUCACUUCCAUCUCUUCAACUUUUACCAUCAACUCCUCAUUUUCGUCUCUCGGUUCUUCAAAGAAAGGGCCCAACAACUUGAUUCUACAAACCAAAUAUCUCUUUCACUAACUCAGCUAGUUCGACUCAGCAGCAAUUGACCUUUGAAUCACGUGUAAGUCUCAUGAUCCUUCAAACACAACAUUUCUUAUUUCAAAGAAUUCGGAAAUUGAAGGGAAAUUGUGAAAGUUUUGGUCUUUUUAUACGAAUAGAAACGGAAAAGGGAAGAGAGGAGAGAAAUCAAAAAAAGGAAGAAGAAGGUAGAAAUUGAGAGAAAGAAGCAAACAAACACAUUCAUUCAAUAACCUCCUCUCCGCUAUAGACUUAGCGAAAAAGAG
RNAcentral lists this long non-coding RNA (787 nucleotides) under Gossypium barbadense (sea-island cotton). Its description in RNAcentral is "long non-coding RNA (GBAR_LNC003888)". Lineage: Eukaryota; Viridiplantae; Streptophyta; Magnoliopsida; Malvales; Malvaceae. The record is from RNAcentral.